UACGAAGGGGGCUAGCGUUGCUCGGAAUCACUGGGCGUAAAGCGCACGUAGGCGGAUUUCUAAGUCAGGGGUGAAAUCCUGGAGCUCAACUCCAGAACUGCCUUUGAUACUGGGAAGCUUGAGUCCGGGAGAGGUGAGUGGAACUCCGAGUGUAGAGGUGAAAUUCGUAGAUAUUCGGAAGAACACCAGUGGCGAAGGCGGCUCACUGGCCCGGUACUGACGCUGAGGUGCGAAAGCGUGGGGAGCAAACAGG
RNAcentral lists this ribosomal RNA (253 nucleotides) under uncultured bacterium. Its description in RNAcentral is "partial 16S ribosomal RNA". It matches the Rfam family "Bacterial small subunit ribosomal RNA", at positions 524 to 776 of the family's 1533-position model. The record is from RNAcentral.